GAUGAAGAACGUAGCUAAAUGCGAUACUUGGUGUGAAUUGCAGAAUCCCGUGAACCAUCGAGUUUUUGAACGCAAGUUGCGCCCGAAGCCUUUUGGCCGAGGGCACGUCUGCCUGGGCGUCACGCAUCGCGUCGCCCCCCACAAUUCUCCGUAAAAGGAACAUGUGUUUUGCGGGCGGAUAUUGGUCUCCCGUGCUCAUGGCGUGGUUGGCCGAAAUAGGAGUCCUUUCGAUGGACGCACGAACUAGUGGUGGUCGUAAAAACCCUCGUCUUUUGUUUCGUGCUGUUGCUCGCAAGGUAAACUCUUUAAAAACCCCAAUGUGUCGUCUCUUGACGACGCUUCGACCGCGACCCCAGGUCAGGCGGGACUACCCGCUGAGUUUAAGCAUAUCAAUAAGCGGAGGA
Molecule: unclassified non-coding RNA, 404 nt
Filed under: soil metagenome
Description: partial contains 5.8S ribosomal RNA, internal transcribed spacer 2, and large subunit ribosomal RNA
Rfam family: 5.8S ribosomal RNA (bases 1-122)
Source: RNAcentral